AGAGAGAGAGAGAGAGAGAGAGGGGGGGGAUCGCUGCCUUCUCUUUUCGUCUCUCGAGGAGUCAGGAGGAGGAGAUCAGAGAUCCGGCGUCUUCGUAGUCAGAUUCCUUUAAGGGUUUCCGCCAUCUUCCGCGAUCUUCUCCUCUCAAUCGUGGUCGAAUAUUGUGAUUCUAUCCUAAUCUGUUCCCUUUUAUGAGGUACAGAAUGGUUCUUUUAGAUCGAGGAAAAACAAAACCCUAAUUUGCUUCCGGAGACCAAUGUUCUUUCUGCAUUAUCUUUGUCUCAAAUUUCUGGAGAACACUCAUUUUUCUUUGACUCUAACAUGGGCAUUUCAAUGUCUUGACUAUUUAAUUUUAGCUCGAUUUGUCCUGGCUAUUAUUCGGGAACGAAUGUGUUGGUUUCAUCUUCGUUGGUCAAAAACUGGAUUUCUAUCUAGGUAGACAAUGCGGUUAGACAAUGCCGUUUAAGUUGGAAAACCAGAACCUGUGAUUUCGGAUAGUGAAAAAGUUUGAUCUUCACUGAGUUGAAGAAUUGGAAAGGCACGACCUUGAAAUUAUCGUCUAUCGCUUAUAGUGUACAAGAUGGGGGUGCUGUCAAGGAAGGUUUUGCCUGCAUGCGGGAAUCUGUGCUUUUUCUGCCCCUCACUGAGAGCAGAUCUAGACAACCAGUGAAGCGGUACAAGAAGUUGCUAGCUGAUAUUUUUCCCCACUCUCAGGUCCACGGAGUCCAUCGUGCGGGCAACCGUUCAAAUGGCGGUGGCUGUGAACCCUGGCCUCGCCGCCGGGCUCAUCCGAAUGCAGUUCCAUGACUGCUUCGUGAGGAGUGACAAUCCUUUCCUUGAUGAGAAAUUGAAUUUAGACGUACAGAAUCAGUUUGGUGGCAACAAUAUGAUAUUAUACCAGUCCCAGUGCCUCAGGCUUCCGGCUUCAAGCCCAUAUGACCACUUCCUGAAGGCUGCUGGCUGUUAGAGCUGUCGUACGAACUCUGAAGGAGGGCCAGAACUCUCGGCCCCUUGUAGAUGUCGUCAGUGUAAAGUUUUUCCCAACUGGAAGCUUAUAAGAUUUCCUUGAGGAUGAUGGUUUCCACCAUUUUGUUUAGUUAUACAGGAAUCUUUGUGUCUGUCGUCAUGGAGAUGUGAGAUCCCAUUUGUUCAUUCUUUUCGUACCUAGAUCUGGUCGAGGACUCUGGAAAACAAGAAGGUUUUCCAAGUAUUUUUUAUUCUGAUGCGGAAUCAGAGCAGCUUAAUUUGUCGAAUCGUGAUGCUUAUAAACAUUCAUCGUGUUGUAUUGGA
Musa acuminata AAA Group (dessert banana) is the source of this 1290-nucleotide long non-coding RNA. RefSeq lists it as uncharacterized. The record is from RefSeq and is a predicted model, not a curated record. Lineage: Eukaryota; Viridiplantae; Streptophyta; Magnoliopsida; Zingiberales; Musaceae. The transcript is spliced from 3 exons.